GCGGCACCUCACGCCUCCACGGCCCGCUCCCGGCUGCCCCUCAACGUCGCUUCGUGAGGAACAGGUCCCGUGGGCGCCACUUUUGAAAAGCGGAACCUGCCCGGGCGGCCGCGUCGAUCCAGGCGUACCUGAUAGGAGCCGCCGGUCAGGGCCAGCUCCGCUAGGACCGCUCUUCCGUUAGCAAUGCAGCUAUAAGUGAUCGUCAUAGUUGGCGGGUCAGUGACGGAAACGCCCUCGCCCAACUUAACUGCCCGCGACUGCUCCGGCGCCUGGGGCGGGGCUCUGGGGAAGGGCGCCGUCUGCGCAGGCGCAAGGAGCUGCUGAUUGGCAGGGAGGGAGGCGGGGCGGAUCUGGACUGUGCUGAGUUUGUGGUGAGACCCGAGCGAGGUCUUCGGAAAAACUUGCUUGGGGAGGACAAACUGAUUGUAAAGCAGCCACUACAAACCCAGUCACCCAGUCCUCAUUGGUGGCAAAGGGAUCUCUAAGAUGAGCAACAAGAGGGCAGCAAAGUGAAGAUGCCAGACUCUCCUCCUCCACACACUUACAGUCAGAUUGUACAAGAACAAAACCAAUAACUCUUGAAGGAGAAACAGAUAAUUAUGGCACACACUAAGAUGCCGCGGACCAGCGCAGCGGUAGACUUGCAGGACUGUCUUAGGAUUGAGAAACUGUGAGGAUGCUCAAGGAAUCGGCGCAUAAAUGACAGACAGACACAUAAAUGACAGACAGACACACUUCAAGAGUGAAGAUCUGAAUGUAAUUUGCUCAAAAUCAUCAUACACUUUUAUACCUUUUUUAACAAUGGAUGAUUUCAUACAAUUUAAUUCUUUCUCAGCAUAAAUACUUUGUAAGGCAUAAGACAUCUACUUCAUUAUUCAUGUGCAUGUGAUCGCUGUUCCAUGACAUGGCACAGUAAACAAUCUCAAGGUACUGAAUCUACACAAUCAUUUUUGCUUACACCGAACAGCAUUCUUUAAGCUAGCUUUUCUUGAUUCGUAUCCCAAAACCACAAUGAUCAAAAACAUUGAUAUUUACCUACUGGCACCUUCUACUUUUAGUGAUCACGAGCAAUAUAUUCUCUACGUAAGCAUUUUGAUUUUUAUGGUGUUGUCUCAUGUGAGAAGUAUUAUGAUUAUUAUAAAACUACUAUUGCCACACACUAUUUUCUUUAUCAUGCAUUUCCUGAAACUGAUUGUACACAUAUAAAGAAAAAGCAAAGUAAGUGAAAAAGUAGUAUGAUUAUAGGCAGGUUGCUAAGUUGUUACUAUUUCUGAAACAAUGUCUAUCUGGUUAAUGGUUAAACUGCUUUGUAGCUAAUUCCACCAGGCUUGUUUGCAGGUGACGCUCUUAGCAGCCUUGUUUCCAUCAAAGGAGGGGUGAAUUACUGCGGGCUUGUUGCCUAAAUUAGGCUUAUAGGCAUGUAGACCUUGUUUGAUCUGAACGCCAAAGUUUAUCAUGAUGAAGCCCCUCGGGGACUGCGCCUGUCUUAGGUCGUCAGGAGUCACAGACAUGAGGCUGGCCAGUGCCUUCUUUAGUCUGCUCCCGAUCUUACCCGUCAUUGACUGUCCAGUCCAGCGCACAGGGGAAGGGGUCUUACUCACUCUGAUGUGUCUGAGUGAAAGCCUCCCUCUUUCCAGUAAGUUCACUGGUGUUCAGCGGCAGAGGCUGCCGCACUAAGAGCCACUCCUGGAAGAGGAGGGGGGGUCCCUGCAAAUAGUGGAAAGGACCUACGUUUCCAAGCUACCAAGCAUGUAGCUUCUGGGGGCGAGUCAACCCCAGUGUCCUAGUAGGUCCUAACACCAGCAAAGUGAAACUGGCAAGUGGCCCUGAUGUGGUAGGCCCUGGCAGACCCCAUUAGGCUUAUAACAGUCUUACUAGCAAAAACUCUACAGGCAAGGAGAGAAAGGAGUAAUAUGUUUAAAGAGUCAAACACUAAGCAAUAUGUACUUAGAGUCAAAAACUGCCAGACAUGAUUGUGCUACCUUUCAAGUCUCUCUUUCAGAUGAGGGAGAAAUAAAGACCUUCCCAGACAAACAAAAGCUGAGGAGUUUGCAAACACAGACCUCCCCUACAAGAAAUGUUGAGGGAGUACACCUAUUAAAUCAAAGUGAGGAAAGCCCACAAAAAUUAAAGAAGGAAAUAGACUGAACCAGAAAUCUAAAGACAAAAUGACAAUAGCGUACCUGCAUGUAUCAACAAUCACUCUAAUGUUAAUGUACUGAACUUGCCAAUUAAAAAGUACAGUGAGUCAAGAGUAUUUUU
This is a long non-coding RNA of Talpa occidentalis (Iberian mole), 2262 nucleotides long. RefSeq lists it as uncharacterized. The transcript has 3 exons. The record is from RefSeq and is a predicted model, not a curated record. Lineage: Eukaryota; Metazoa; Chordata; Mammalia; Eulipotyphla; Talpidae.